GUCCAUAACUCACUGGGAAACUCCAUAGCGGUAUCCGCAUAGCCCCUCACAGGGUCCUCGCGGUUUGGCCCAUAGGUCCGUCUAUUGCCCAUUAAUUGGAAACGAAGCUCUUUUGUGGAUCUCCUGCACUUAUCCGGUUCUGCACAUCAGUGGAGUCAGUAUGGAGAUGUUGUGGCACUUCCCUCGCAUGGCCUCCUCUAGGAUGCCCCAGUCAUGAUCAGGCAUGCUUGACAUACGCUAUAUUGGCAGUUGAACCGAACCGAACCGAACCUCUGGUCAAGGAGGAAAUUUCGCCCGGCUAAUCUUUCUCAUCCAGGUUUUGGCCCACAGCCAGCUAGGUCUACUCCUCUGGCGCGACACAAGACAGGAAGCUGACAUAGAAGAAUGGGGGGACUGACUGUGAGGGACACAGGAGCCAAGGCAGGAGCCAGGGCAGUAGACACUGACGAGUUCGGAAGUCAUUGUUUCAGUUUACAGCCAUUCACAGUGGCAAGAAUCUUAUAACUCUGUUGCACUUAUGAUCCUGUGCUGAUGGGGUGAGAUUUGUUUUAACUUCCCAGGUUACAAUUAGGUUAACAAGGCUUGGGGUCUGUCCCAAUUCCCACAAGCCUAAGAGUCCACAAUCAUCUUUCAACAUCAACAUCAACAAUCUGGAAGGCUGUUAUUUAGCACAGCUUUGCUGUGACCUACAUGCUAUUACCAGCAUGCUAACAUGCUCUCACUCACCAUGACAACAUGCUAUAGGCAAUUAACACCAAAAGCCAAAAAAAA
This is a long non-coding RNA of Scatophagus argus, 771 nucleotides long. RefSeq lists it as uncharacterized. Lineage: Eukaryota; Metazoa; Chordata; Actinopteri; Scatophagidae. The record is from RefSeq and is a predicted model, not a curated record. The transcript has 3 exons.